AUGCUAUCUAGGCGGCGCUUCAUGGCGGAACCGCCGCCAGCGCUUCCCCAGCCCUUGUCGCACGGACCCAUCGCCGCCGCGCCUGUACCACCGCGUCUCACCGCGUCUUCGACGGCCAACACAUGGGGGCCGGCAGCACCAACCUCUCCGAGUGGCCAUGUCGCCCAGAACCCUAGCAUUGGGGAUUCCGACGAGGUGGAGAGCGGGGCAGUGGCGCCGACGGCCGAGGCCCUCCCCAAGAUCAACUCCUUUGUGGGCGCACUUGCAGCAGCCCAUCUGCCCCAGAAUUCCAUGCCCGACGAGGAGGACGGCAUAGCUGAUGAAUGCGGCUCGACCUCUCUCUCUGCUAUUUGCGCUAGGAUGAUCCAGUCUUGUAGCUACACAGUAGAGGUAAAGGUUUGUGGCAGUGGAACCAAAAUCACCGGGGAUUCGAUAUUUAGUUGGCAGAUUAUUGAGGGUAGUAGGACAAGUAUGAAGGAUUUGCUGGCUUGUAUUGCCGGAAAUUUUGCUUUAUGCUCAGAGGAUAAUAUAUUUCUUGAGUACUUUGAUUCCAUUAGUGGCAAAAAUAUCUCUGUGUCAAAUGAUGAAGAAUGCAUGAAAAUGUUUGCCUGUUUUGAUCAGAAUAGAAGUGGCCAUUUGAUCAUCAAAUAUUCCGAGAGAAGUGAUAAUGUUGAUGUUCCAUGUACUCCUUCGAACCAAACACCAUCUAUAGCACUGCCUAGUCAACCAAGUAGCAUCAUUGAUGAAGCUAAUGUAUGCCUAACAGAUACAUAUCUUGACAAUCCGCAUGAAGAAUAUGAACAUGUUGGUGUAGAUGAGGAGGACCAGUACUCAAUUGGCAGUGUUGGUUCCGAUAGUGAUGAUGAGGUCAAAGAAAAAGAUAUACCAAAUAAUGAUUAUGUUGAGGAUAGCAGUGAUGAUGAGGAAUGGGUUGCAGAAGAUGCUAGACCGGAUGCUAUUCCAGAAAUUGCUUAUGACAAAGAAAACCCGCCAAUGCAUGUUGGCGCAAAGUACCCCAACAUUGAAGAGUUUAGGUUGGCAAUUGCUACAUAUGCUGUAAAGAAAGAGUUCGAAUUCAAGGUUGAAAAAAGUGAACCUACUCGAUUCAGGGCUUAUUGUCGCCGGGCGAAGAAGACGGAUUGUAAAUGGAGAAUUCGUGUUGGGAGGUUGGAUGACCAAGAAACUAUGGAGGUCAAAGUUCAUGUGCAGGAGCACACUUGUUCUAGCGCAAAGAAGAAAAAGAAGCAGAAAAAUGCUUCAAAGGCAUGGGUGUGUGAGAAAGUCAUGGACUGGGUAAAAGAAGAUCCUAGUGUUUGGCCGAUGGAGUUACGGAGGAGGCUACAUGACAAGUACAAGAUCAACGUCCAAUACACGAAAGUAUUCCGUGGCAAAGGGCUAGCAAUGGCUAAGUUGUUUGGUAACUGGGAUGAUUCUUUUGACAAGCUAUAUGCUUGGAAAGCUGAGGUUGAGAAGAGGUCUCCUGGAAGCAUAGUUGCGAUUGACCACAUGGAGUAUGAUCAGAAAAAAUAUUUCAUACGGAUGUUUGUUGGGCUGAAGCCUUUGUGCGAUGGAUUCUUGGCUGGCUGCAGACCUUACUUGGCGAUAGAUAGCACUCAUUUGACAGGCAAGUACAGAGGCCAAUUAGCUACUGCUUGUGCCGUUGAUGGGCACAAUUGGUUGUAUCCUGUAGUCUAUGGAGUUAUUGACUCAGAAACUACUGAAAGUUGGGUGUGGUUUUUGGAGAAGCUUCGUGAUGCUAUUGGCUCUCCCCCUGGUCUAGCUAUAUGUUCAGAUGCGGGAAAAGGGAUUGACACUGCAAUCGAACAGGUCUUUGGGUAUGCAGAACAUAGAGAAUGCAUGCGACAUUUGGUUGUGAACUUCAAGAAAAAGUUUCAUGGUAAAGUUUUUGAUGAUCAUUUGUGGCCGGCUGCUUAUUCAUGGACUCCUCGAGGGUUUGACUAUCACAUGGCAGCCAUAGAGGAGAAAAAGGCUGCUGCAGUAGCAUAUUUAAACAAGUACCACAGCAGGCUAUGGUCAAGGAGCAAAUAUUCAACCUCCUCAAAAGUGGAUUAUGUGACAAAUAAUUUGGCCGAGUGUUUCAACAACUGGAUCCGCAAGCACAAAGGUCUCAUGUUGUUUCAGCUCAUGGACAAGAUCAGGAGAAAGAUUACUGUCAAGUUUGAGAAGAGGAGAAGGGUAGCUAGAAAAUUUCAAGGUCGACUUAUACUUCCAAGUGUCAUGAAGGAGUUGAAUGACAUAAGCAGGGGGCUGGACAUUGAAUAUGAGAGAAUAGAUGACAUGAUUGCAGAGGUGAGUGAGAGUGUUGCACUAGGUGGCAAGCGCCACGUCACUGAUCUAGCAAAUAGGACAUGCACAUGCAGGGCAUUUCAAGUCUCUGGGAAGCCUUGCAAACAUGCAAUUAGCUUUAUUACUGGAAUUAGGGGGUCACAAUAG
This 2454-nucleotide ribosomal RNA is filed under the name Triticum aestivum (bread wheat). Its description in RNAcentral is "partial small subunit ribosomal RNA". Lineage: Eukaryota; Viridiplantae; Streptophyta; Magnoliopsida; Poales; Poaceae. The record is from RNAcentral.